ACUUGGCCACCACCCCUGUGAAUAGCAUCAGAAUGAAGAACAACAUCACAGACUUCAAAGCAAAUACCUCUCAUGUUCUCUUCAGCCAAUGCACCUUCCUUCGAAGCCCACUGGAAACCAGCAACAACAGAAUCCUUAAUUUCAUUCAGGUACUGAACUCCCUUACACAUAUCCACCACCAUGUUGGGACCAGUUGUCUCAGGACCAAAGCACCAAAUCUUCUUUGCAAGAUCUUUGUCCCAGCCAAACUCCUCAGCCAAGAUCUUGGAACGAACCUUAGGGUCAUCCCUAGGGCCAAUGCGUCCCUCGUCAAUAGCCUCAGCAAGCCCUUCCUCCAUUGGUCUAGCCUCCAUGUACAAACGGUUAUGCUUGUUAGGGGACUUGCUCAUCACAGUUCGAGUGGACUUCUCGAGGACUGUCUCACGGAAGGACACAACUGGAUCAGAUUUUAUAAUUUCAGCACCGCCCAUAAAGUCAUCCUGCAAAUCCUUCAGACAGAUCUCAAGGUGGAGUUCUCCAGCACCAGCAAUAAUAUGCUCUCCAGACUCUUCAAUAGAACAAACAACCAUAGGAUCAGACUUAGCCAGACGUUUCAACCCUUCAACAAGCUUGGGAAGGUCAGAUGCGACCUUGCACUGAACAGCUACACGCACAACUGGUGAGACAGAAAACUUCAUUGCUCUGAUAGGGUGAGCAUCGACUUCCUUUUCAUUGGUCAAUGUUGCAUUCUUGGUAAUAAACUGAUCCAAACCAACCAUGGCAACAGUGUUACCACAGGGAACAUCCUCAACAGUUUCUUGCCUCUUACCCAUCCAAAUAACAGUUCGCUGGAUAUUCUUAACAUAUAGAUCCUUCUUUUCACCAGGAACAUAGUUAGGACCCAUGAUUCUAACCUUCAUACCAGUAGAAACCUUCCCAGCAAAUACACGACCAAAAGCAAAAAAUCUACCCUUGUCAGAUGCUGGAAUCAUCUUUGAUACAUAAAGCAUAAGCGGCCCUUCUGGGUCACAGUUCCUGAUAGCAUUAGCAUAAGCAUCAUCAAGUGGUCCCUCGUACAAGUUCUCCACACGGUAUUUUUGAGCUGUGGACGGUGAUGGGAGAUGAUAUAUCAUCAUUUCUAGAAGAGCAGUACUUGCAGGAAGCCAGGUCUGCAUCACACGCUUCAUCAGUGCCUUUCCCAUCAGAUCUUUUUCAUCAGAUUUCAUGGUUACACCAAGCUUCUGCAACAUAGGCCAGAGCUUAUCUUUCUGAUCAUUCAUGCAAGUGUUGAUAAUCUGCUUGAUUGGUUCAUAGCAGAAUUGAACAAAACCACGCUUGCACGAAGCUGAACCAGUGUUUUUGGUGGUCCACUUUUUGGUGGCAGGGUCAAAAAAGUUCUCACCCCACAGCCUCUCCAUCAUCUUAGACUCGUCAACACCAAAUUUGGAAGCAUACAUCUUGGCAAAAUUGGUGAGAGUGAAAGCCCACCCAUGCAACCCAGCGGAGAAAGCAACGGUACCUUUCUCAGGAUAAACCUGGACAUCACCAAGAAGGGGAUCCUCAUAUGUAGCCAUGAUAACAUUUGCAUUCUCAAUAACUCUUUGGAAUGUCUGAUAGGCCUCCUCUCCAUCAACCUGAAGCUCAAGGAAACACCUGUCCAUCUUGUUAACUGUCAAGACGGGACGAAUCCUUUCACCAAGGGCUUGACGGAGCACAGUCUCUGUCUGGACACAGACACCUUCCACACAAUCAACCACAACAAGUGCACCGUCAGUAAUACGAAGAGCAGCAGUCACUUCAGAUGAGAAGUCAACGUGCCCAGGUGAAUCGAUGAGGUUGAUGAGGUACUCGUUCCCAUUUCUCUCUCCCUUGAAGUUCCUCAAGGAGUCAUCAGUCAUCUCGUAGUAAAGUGAAAUACCAGUGGACUUGAUGGUGAUACCACGCUCAGCCUCAUCUGCACGUGUAUCUGUCAUUCUGACAUCACCUGCUACUUCCUGAGCAAUGAUACCAGCAGCCGCCACCAGAGAAUCAGUAAGGGUAGAUUUUCCUGUCAGGUUAAAUAUAUUGCAGGAUAAGAAACUCAAAAUCAUCUGAUAAGUUAAACCAUAGAUGGUAGGUACCCUAUUACCAACGAAUAGAAGAAAAACAAUAAAACAAUAUUAAGCAAACAGUAGCACCACAAAAAUAUACAGGGUGGUUUCAGUGCCCAGAUAUAUUCCAGAUGAUCACUAGACACAAGGGAUCAUAAUUUAAAUUACCUUACCUUUACAACAAAGAAUUUAGACAACUAUUGUAAUAAUAUUUGUACAGUUGCUUACCAUGGUCCACAUGAGCAAUAACAGACAUAUUACGAAUGUUAUGCUUGAAGUCCAUAAUCCUUCGAAGCUCCUCAGCUGUGAACUUCACCAUCUUGAAUGUUUGUUGUAGCAACUAAGAAUUACUUUAUUUUCCUGCCAUUUGAAACCACAACAAAUGUUAAACAUCAAUCAAAACACAGUUUAUUCUCCCAGAGUCAAAAUCCAUAUGACAAAGCCACCAACUAAAAAAAAGCUAAUUCAAGAGAUCCAUACAAAACACACCAUAUAACUCUGAAGCUAACAGAACAAUUCCUCCUACUUAAUUGAAUAUACGCACACCAUAAUUUCAAGUCAAGACUCACAAAUAAACACAAAAUCACUGAUCAAAAGAUUGUAAUUAAGCUUCUAGAACCGAACAGCAGAAACAGAAGGUUUGAUGUUUCAAAAUUGAGACAGAUUACAACCAGUAGUCUACCACUAUAGCGCACAUCUCUGUAUUAUGAACAUCUUAAUUUAAGACGGACAUAUACAGACACGGACACACACAUAUAUAAGCAGAUAUAUUGUUUCUACAAGGAAAUCAUCAGAAAUAAAACAGUCUAAACAGAUGAAUAGCAAGCAGCUUCCGGAAUAUUAACAUGAACUAAUAAAAACCCUCUUAACAUUCUCAAACGCAACAUCAAAUAACAUAUAUCUAUUAAAAAAGAGCAGAUCUCAAAGGCAACAUCAAAUAACAUAUAUCUAUUAAAAAGAGCAGAUCUGGACUAGAUCUAGAUAAAGUUCCUUCACAUUUCAUAAAAAUAUUCAUUUCAAACGAAAUUUUACCCCGAAAAAAUCAAAUCACAGCAUAGAUCAAAUGGUAGAAACUGAGAAUCUAUGAGUGCAGCGAGACGAGAAAGAGGAAAUGGUCACUUACUGAGAGGUAGGCGGCGAGUAUUGUGAGACCUUACAAUUCUGCCGCUAUGAUAAGCUGAGGUUAAGCAUUGUGCGAAGGUAUAUACCUCUCUUCAUGGGCCGCAGCCAGCCUAAAAUGGGCCAUACUACUAUCUUAUCUACAAUGGGCCUUUAGUGGGUUCAUUCAUAUAAACAAAAGAGAAAAAAAUCAGAGGAGAUACGUCUUCUUAACACUUCAUUGUCAUCCUCCACUUACUUUUUCAUUAUAUGACUACAAUAUUAUGUAUUCUAUAUAUAUAUAAUUAUAAUUGUUUGAGUGGGUAGUAUAAUUAUUUCUCCACUUGCUUUUAUGUUAUCCCCCACUUAUUUGGGAAUAUUGAAUUGAGGGGAUGAAAAAAAUUUAAAAUAAAAUUGCAGUGAUUUAAGUUAUUUUUAGUUAAGUGUAGGUGAUAAUUAAGGUGUUUUAUACGUGUAGUAGUUGCUCUUAUGUUUGCAUUAGCUAAAAAAAAAUUGGAAAGAUAUAAAGACCAAAGGAAAAGUGAGGAGACCGUAAUCUCCUUCCACCAUCACAUGCAAACGUUGAUUGAGUCCAUCGGAGUGCUGGAUUCAAAGCAGUGGCAUCAACAAGGAAUUCAGGUAAUCUUUUUUUUAUGCUAAGUAGAUUUUGUAUUAUUAUUUCACCUAAGAAAAUUCUUGUUUUUGCUCAUUAUUGACGGAGAUCGAGAGGCUGAGAGAGAAAUCAAAAUUUGUGUUUACAGGAGCGAAAAAAUUGUGUUGGAUUGAGUUUUGGAUGACUUUCAUCAAGUCUCACAAACACUAUGAAAUUCAAUCAAAAGAAGACUUCUUCAACUCUAUUAUAUCAGACAUCUUCUUUAAGUACUCAUAAAAACAUAAUUUUCUUCUUCUUUUUAAAUAAUAAAUGGUGUAAAUUAAACUGUUUUUUGUGUAAUUUCUUUUUCGAACUGAUUGAGCUCACAGGUAGCUAAUACCACUACUAAAGAAACGAAAAAAUAAUCAUAUCCAAAUUCAAUUUUAGUCAUCUGCUUCGAGCAAACUUCUUAAUUAUUGAACCUCUUUUAUAUAUAUACUUAUAAGAUAGUUUUUAUAGUGUACUAAGAAAAAAAAAUACAUUAUAAUGUUAUUGAAGCAUUCUGGAGUUCCUGUUUUUAAGAUUUUGUUAUCCAAAUAUUGAAAUUUGAUUCUAGUCCGUGAUUAUUAUAGUUUUUUCGUCAUUUGGGAUCUCUGGUAUAAAAUUAGUAUAUGUCAAACUUUGAGUAACUACAAAAUUGAAAAUUUGGUUAGAAAAAAGUCCGCUAAAAUGUGAUGAGUUGGUAAUUUAUCAAUAUCAUACUCUUAUUCGUCAAUUAGCAUUAUGUUUUAUAGGUAAUGAAGAAAAUUUUAGGUCAUUAUUCUCUCCUGGGCAAAAGUUUCUUGCAAAAUGAAGGAUGAAUGAUUUGGCGCAAAACAUUAUUAAAAUACAUUGGUGAGGAGUUAACGUCCAAAAAUUUGCAUAGGUGUUCCAAUGGCUCAAUAGACUAGAAGAUGAGAUGUUGUCUAGAAACAUCAGUAUCUUCGAUGAUCAAUCGAUACAAAUGCAGGCAUCAUUGGAAUAGGAAAAGAUUAAGCGGCAUAUCAAUUAGAACUGGAUGUUUCCGCAUCGAUGGAACACUGAUGCAAUGCAAGCGAAAUACGAAAGUUUAAGGGCAAAAAAAAAAGUCUUACUUUGGAAGGUUUUAAUCAAGAAAUUGAGAUUUGUAUAAUUGUGUAUUAUAAUUUCUACCCAAUUGUGUAUUAUUCAUUAUUGCAAAGUAUAAGUUGGGGUUGUUUCCAUUUCUCUCGACGGGGGAAGUCACUAUUAAUUGGGUUGAGGAAUUAUCCCAAAGAUCAAUCAGUUCACACAUUGAGCUUACAACUACUUUUCUUAAAUAAUUAUUCCACCUUACGCAUAUUGCACUUGAGGGAUGAGAUUAACAAUUUUCAUCAUCUAUCGACAGAAGCAAUUCAUAAAGUGUGGUUGAGAUUCAAGAAAAAGGUCUUGUUAUGUCUAAAUUAUGGGCUAUCAAAUAAAGUUUUGAUACAAAAUAUUUUGCCGUUCUUUGGAUGAGGUCAAACAACUUAGAUAUAGAUUUUAUAUGGACCUAACUUAUGCCUUAGUCACCGUCCUCAUUGGUCAAAUGAUCAAGAGAAAUAAGACAUGGAAUACUAGAGACACUGAACAACCUCUGGGUGUAGCUGCCAAGUAUGACGAAUGAGAUGACAAGAAAAGAGAAAGAAAGAGAAGAACAAAUGACAAAGUUGAUGACAAGUAGAGCUCUUGGACAAGCAUAUGUUGCACACCGAAAUAAAGUGUUAAUGUCAUUGGGUUACACAUAGUUAUCUAAUGAAGAAGAUAUUAUUUAUGCUUCAUAUGAUGAAGAGGUAAGAUUGAUGUGUCGCAAAUCUUGGCACAUUUGAUGCUUGAAAACUAUGAAUUAAUACUAUAAUUGAAUGUAUUUUUGUAUACUUUGAUGUGUUUGUUGAAUGUGUAGACAGAUUCUUGUUUGUGUAGAAAAAUGGAAAAAGAAGUAGAAAAUCAUAAGGAUCAAGUAAAGAUCAUGACUAUCCUCACGAACCGUGAUUCUCAUAAUAUUUUGUAGUUAUGCUUGUAAAGUUGAACCAGUGUUUGGGCCUUGGGAAGAUGGAGUGCAUGAGUAACUAAGUAAAAACCACAGAAGGCUCCACAGGGUCGUGGUCACUAUAAUGGCUCGUGGUAGUGAUCGUGAAGAUGAUCCAGUACUUAGACCUCGAGAAGCUUGAAUUGGAAGUGACCACGUGAAGAUCACAGGCACCUUUACGAACCGUGGUCAGUGCUUCGAUCUGUGAUGUUGUUUGUAGUACCCUUUCCAGUGUGAUGUCAUUGAAGACCCAACUUUGAAAAAUUUCAAACAAAGACCACAGACACCUAGAUGCAUCAUGGUCAUGUUGUCUGUGAUGCAUGUUCCAGUGGCCAAGUAUUGAGGACCCAAUUCUGGGGAGUUCCAAGGGAAGACCAUAGAGGGCUUCACAGAUUGUGAAGCCCUUAACGGGUCGUAGAGUUGUCCGUGAAGCUGCCCGCAUUUUACUCUUUUUAAAACACCUUAUUUGAAUUAAUUAGGUCAUUUUUAUUUUUUUUAUCUCAUCUUCCAUUAAUGAAGAACACACUUUCUAGUAUUCGAAGUUUUUGGAUUCUUGAAUUAAGUUUGAAGUUCAAUUUUCCUAUUCUUGAAUUAUCAAAGUGGUUGUUGAUUUACUUAUUCUCUCAUUUCAAGUUAUGUAAAGUACCCAAGGGCGUAAGCCUUUCGGCUGGUUUAAGAUGAUGAGAAAGAAAUGAAAACCCAUUUCGGGUUGAUUUGAUUCCUUCGCUUGCCAGGAAAUGAACUUUCUAAUAUGUUUUCAAUCUAUAUUUCUGAACAUAUACUUGAAAUUAUGAGUAGCUAAACACCACAACUGGGGUUGUGGGAUUCAUGUUGUAAUUCUAAUUGUGAUUUCGUAAAACAGGUGAAAGACAAUGCGUAGUUACAAACUAUAGUUUAGCUUUUGUUAUUCAAGUAUUCUGAUGAGUGCACAUAUUAGAGUGAUCCUUUAUCUUUCAUUUGUUAGAGAGAAAAAUGAUAGUUAGGAAAAAUCUAAAUUAACCUAACGAAUUGGAGUCAAAGUUCGAGAGAGAGAUAAAAGAACUUUAACACCAUUGUCAACGAGGGUAAAAUUAGUAACAUUUGAUGGCCGAAAGCACUUGAGGGAGAAUUAUAUGAUUAGACUUAGAAGUGUCGCAUAGAUUUUGUAAAGAUGAAUCACCUGAAACUCAAUUACGAAAGAACACUAGAUGUAGCGUUAUAAUCCUAAUUUCCUUUAAUUAGUGAAUCAACUUUAAAACUUAAGAUUCUGUUAACUGUUAAUCCAGAUUUCUGUUGCAAAUCUUACUUAUUAUAACAUUAAAACUAAACCCGAGUUACUUUCCAUCGUUGUUUCUUUAGGAGAUAAUAAUGACAUUCGAGUAAACGAGACAGUGAAACCAUUAUUGUAAAGCAAUUUUGUUACGUCCCAAGAACAUCCCUAGACGUGACAUGGCGUACUUGAAUCCGAAGGGAGGUAUCGUACAAUCCCCUAAGCAUAAUCAUAACAUAAAGAACAAUAGGAAUUUUGGAGAAAUUUAAAACUUUUAAAAACAUACAAUCGAAUUUCAUAAAUGCAAUGUAAGUCGUUGCUAAACUUUUGUAUCAAACCAUCUAACUUGACUUGAAUAUAAAAUCUUUGGGAUGUAGCCCAUACAAAGUCUUAAACAUAAUAGUAAAUGACAUAAGAAAAGUAAUAGGUCGUCCUUGGAACUAUGAGGACUCACCAAGUCUUCAAGCUUCCUUAGCUCCUCAAACACCUAUCUCCAAAGUAAAACUUAAGUCUCCAAAUCCUAAAUUUGAUUAGAAUUUAAGUAAUAUACAUUAGUACAAAAUAUACCAAGUAUGAAAGCUAGCACAACAACAUAUUUAAGCAUCAUACAGACAUAAUUGACUCUUCGUCAUCUACACCACCAUAGUACCAUUCUCAAGUAACCUCAAAAGCAUACAAGUGCAAAGUAGGAAUAUCAUCCCAUAAUACUACCCAAACCAUAUAUUCUUUCUUGGACAUCUUAAUAAUAGUCUAUACACAUGGUCUAAUUGUUUAAGUUUCUCUACCAUAAAGGCACCAUGCUUCUAGAUAACAUCAAAGCACACUUGUGCAAUGUAUGAAAGGCAUCCUAUACUACCCUUCACACUAAGCAUAACUUUGAAGUCAUCCUAGUCAUAUUCACCUUACUUUGGUCUCAUUAGUAACUUAAAUUCUCAUAACUAAGGGAAUCUCUCACCUUUAGUCAACUAUAGCAAGGUAGGAAACUAUGUCACAAUCCUAUCUCAACUCAUUCUCUUUAGUAACCCUAAGUCACGCUUGUGCAAUACAAUCACAACAUCCCAUAAUACUAAUCAUGCUAUUACUUUUAAGUCCUUCUACUAAUACUUCUUGGUUUAGAACCUAUGUCCUUAAUUAAUCUUUAGAACACUAUGAGGUACUCUCUUGAGCACAUCAUAGUUUAUUAAUAACUUGAACCCUAUGAUAUACCACUUUUAGUAUGUAUAAGUUCAUUUCUAGCAUGGAACCCUUUAAGAUACUACCUUAAGCAUGUCUAAGUCCAUCCACACUCUAGAAUAGUAUGAGUUACUUCAUUGAGUAAGUCUUAGUUUAUUAUGCUUUGAACACUAUAAGAUGCUUCUUAAGCAUGUCUUGGUUCAUUAUGUUUUGAACACUAUGAGAUUCCUCGCAAACAUGUCUUAGUUCAUUGGAUAUGGAUAUUGCUACUAGGAACCUUGACUCAACUACGUGAAGGAUCUCAUCUCAUAAGACCUAACUAUCUAUGGGUAAACCCACACUCUACUACGUAAGAGUCCCCCCUUUAACUUGGAUAGUCCUCACAUCAACUUGGUGCGAUUCCCCUUUCUACUUCAAGCACAAAUCUUUUCUUCUGUGACACUUCAUCUUAUUGUCAAUAUCCACUAAUAUCCAAGCAUACACCCUAAUGUUUACUGGAUAAUUCUUGCUUAACAUUCAUAUCUCAUAGAAGGAUGUCUUUGACAAUCAAUCCAUGAUCAUGUGAUUCUAUCACUUCAUACUUUCAAAUAUUUAUAAGGUAGGUUAGGUGAGUAUAGGCCUUUCACUAUAAUCCAACCUACUAGACUUCUAAUAUCUUUUAGACAUUACUCUCAAAGCCUUUACAUCAAUAGUUAAUCAUUAGCUUCACCCUAAAGCCCUAACUAUCAUGAUCACAACCUUACUCUCAAGGUUUCUUACUUAAUCUCUUCUUUAUAGAUAAACUUCAAGGUUUUCUAAUCAUAUCCCUCAUUAAUAGGUGACUCCAUAAAAAUUCAAAUUCAACAUUACAAGUAAACACCAAUCAUAACCGAUUAGUUUAAUUUCUAUUCAUAAUUAAGAGUUCCUAACCUUGAAUGAUUAGUACUUAAAACAUUGAUACAUGAAGGUUACUCAUGAACCUUCAAUUUCCUCAUCAAAAGACAUAAAACUACAAACUUUGAAAAUUAGGGUAAAUCAAAGAAUUCACAUAAUAUGUUCAUAAUAUCAUAAAUCAACACUAAAAUAACCACAUAUGAGUAGUACCUAACCAUUUGGAAUCACACCCACAUAAAACCCAUACAUUUGAAGUAACUCUAACUUGAUUGGGGUUCUUCUUCAUAAAUUAGGGGAAAUUCUAGGGGACUCUAUGGGUGGAAGAACCCAUGGAUGAAGAGCUAAACAUACCUUAAACAAUAUCCUAGAACAUGCCUUUAGCAAUUGAACCUUUGUUCUUGACCCUAGCUUUAAGCUCUAUCUCCUACUUCAAUGGGUUUUUAGAGAUAGAAUUUUUGGAAGGAAGAUGAAGUUAUUGAUUUGAAGUGGGUCGUCUUUGUAAAAGUGAUUUGUUUUGGGGAUAUUUUAUUAUAAAAUCCCUUAUAUAGUCAUUUAGAAAUAAUAUAAAAAAUACCCACUUUCUAAUUUAACUUAAUUUUUGCAUAAACUAUUCAAGUAUUUAUCAAACUCAUCAUGUAUUAAUAAAAGUUUUGUCAAUCAAAUAGCACUUAAAAGUAUAAUAACACAAAAACAAAGAAAAAUAAUGUCAUAACUAUGCAAAAUAAUACACAUAAAGAUUUCAUAAUGGAUUGAAUUUAUUCUAUUUAGCUCAACAAUUAUUAUGAUUUUAUAAAAAAUUUUGAGGGAAAACGACUCCUCUCAAAUAGCCCUAACAUCGCCGAGUUUGCCUAAUUGGUGAAUAUGGUUGCCACUCCAGUGUCCAACCUUCUUCUAAGGUAGGCCUGCCAGCGCCUGCAGGUCCUUCUUACGCAGAUUCACUGGAACAACCUAGAGCCAAAGAGAAGUCGUUGCCUUUGAAACCUAUAUCAUACUUGCAUGGGGAACCACAAGUGAUUUGGGAACAUGAAGAAGUAAAUCAAAUGAUCUUCAAUUGGAAAAUUUUCAUAUGGAUGGACAGAGAUUCAAGAUCUUCGGAAGCUAAUUCCAAAAUAAUGUGAAUUAAAGGAGUGCAAUAUAGGCUUGCUGAGUAACAUGCAUGUUUUGAUAAGAGAGACGUUAUUGGAAGAUUAUGUUCAUCUUUUAUCGAAGCUAGCUUUCUACAUAUCAAAGAAAAAUUGGUCUUUUCCAAAAUGAGAACAUUGAAGUGGGAUUCAUGUUCAAUCCAUGGGAGGAGACGUCAACGAUAAUUGCAUGGAUAUCUAUUCCUUCAUUGUCUCCAAAUUAUUUUGGAAAAGAAGUUGUCUUAUCGUUGACUGCUGCAGUAGGUAAAACUUUACAGGUGGACAUGGUGCAAGAGUUAAAGUAAAGGUGGACUUAUUGAAGGAAUUCCCAAAGCGUAUAAAAAUUGGGAUGAGGAUGAAGAAUGAGGAAGUACUUGAGAAGUAGAUAAAGAUUAAGUAUGAUUAUGUCCCAAAAUAUUGUAAGACGUGUAUGAUUCAGGGGCACAAUGAACAACAAUGCUAUGCUGAACAUCAAUAAUUGUAUCCAAAUAAAGAGAAGAUCGAUCAAGACACUGGAAAAAAAGGAAGAGGAUAACAAAAAGGAGAGAAGAGAAGAAAGGAAAGAGGCACAAAUAAGAGAAGGUUGAUAUACCGUGGUUUCACGGUAUUAUUAAUACUUUUUCCUUAAGUUUAGCGUGUCCAAAAGCCCUUUUGUGCUAAUUUUUAUAUAAGUUUCUCCUAAUUUGCAGGAAAUCUGUCCAAAGAUGAAUGCGGAGGUUUUGGAGCGAAGAAAUGCAGAAGAGACCACCUACAGAGCUUGUGACGGUCCGUCAUGCUUGUGAAGGUCCGUAGGUGGCAGCGUAGUGCAGCUGCUGAAAGAAGAUGGGGAAGUCUAACCAAGUGUGCGGUUACAAAGUCUAUGACGGUCCACCCUGUAGGUUCAUCAUGAAGUUCAGAGAAGUAGUCCCAGUACCCAUAUUCCAAGAGUUUAAGUGUUUUGGAACGAAGACCCUCGACGGACCGUUGUGCCUGUGACGAUCCGUCAUACUUGCCGUCGAGGGUAAUGAAGAGAGUAGCAGAAGAAAUUGCACAAGUAUGGGACGACGGAGUCUAUGACGGUCCGUCGUGACCACGACGAUCCGUCGCGAGGUCCAUCGACCCAGCCGCGUUUUGACAGAUUUCCAGCAAAUAGAAUCCUUGUUUACUAAGGUUUUUAUUUUCUAUAAAUAGUUCGAAAAACCUCGUUUUUGGGGUUAGACUCGGUAUUAUUAGGUCAGACUCUGGAUUAGUUGGUUAGGCCUUUGAUUAUCAUUAGACUUUUUGUGAGAUUCUUGAUUACUUUGAGAUUCUUGUAAGUGGUUGUUGGUGAUUUUUGUUGAUUAAUCAAGUGAACUUUCGGAUUUUACUCUUUCUCAUUGAAGUAAGUACAUGAAUUCUUAUAUCAUAUAUUUGAAUAUUGUGAUUAUGACUAUGGGUAACUAAACUCCAUAACUAGGGUUGUGGGAACCAUAGGCAAAUAGUAAGGUAAAACCUAACUAAAUAACAAUUCUAGAAUAGUGUCUUGCAUGUAUUAAUAAUUCUUUCGCUUAGAAGUCUUUUUAAUGGAUGGCCAACGUUAGAACUCGCCUUAAUGCUACUUGCCGGGAGGUAGAUAAUAGGAAAAAAAUUAUCAACAUAGAUUUAGUGUACUCUAUCUAAUAGGCUAGUAUUGAUUGGUACGAGGUAAUAACUUAGUCAAAUAUCGAAUAUGAUGCUUAAUAUGAGGUAAAGAUAAGGGUUAGGAUAGCAACACACGUAGCUGGACCAAGGUGCGGAGUGAAAUUUUCUAGAUGUCGGACCAAGGAUUUAGAAAUACAUAACUUAUCACUUUGCAUGCAAGAGACUAGGAAAGAAUUGUUAUAGUUAGACUUAUCAAGUUAUGAACCUAUGGGGAACACGUAAACACUAGUUACUUUGAUUAAUUGAUUAAACUCCAACAUUCGAAGCUGUUAAGUGUCUCUUUCAAUUUCGCUAGUUAUUUUCAUUUAUUUAGAAAUAGAAACCCCCUUUUUAUUGUUUUUGCUUUCCAAGGAAGUAAUUGACUGAACAAUAGUAAUAGUAGAUUGAAGUUAAGUCUAAACUAUUUUUCUCGUGGGAACGAUCCCAACCUCACUAGUUGGAUUAUUUACUUGACACGACCGCUUUACUUCUUAUUUGAGAAGUAAGUUUGAGCAUAUCAAAGGGGAUCAAUAGAAAGAUAAAAACAAAGAUGAGUUCAUGGAGCAAAGACACAAAAAAUUGGGUGAAAGGAAAAAACUACCAGAAUAAGUCUGGAACAAGGUGGGUGUAGUCACAGGGAACAAGUUUAAUAUGCUGGAACAGGAAGCACAUAAGGAAGCGGAUGAACAAUUCAAGAAAGUGGCUGCAAUUGGGGUGGAUGAAGAAGGCACUAUGGAAGAUCAAAAAUCAACUCCUGGGAUAGAAAAGAGCGAUGACAAAAAAAAUAUGUCUGAUGAACGACACACAACAGUCAGUAAAAAUGUGCAAUAGGAUGAAAGCGAUAGGGUCAACAGGUCCGAUGGAAAGAUUAAAACAACUAGCAAAAGUAUGCAACUAAAAGAAAUAAACAAUUAAAAGUCACGGGAAAAAAGUAAAACAUAUGCAUUCUCAUCUAGUUUGUUACCAAAAAAAAGUAAUGAGGAUGGGAUGGAAAAGGACAUAGAGGAGAUCGAUACAAUGACAAAGAAAGGAAAGAUUUACGGGAAGAGAAUAAGGAUGAAAUUCAAUUUUUAAUGAAGACCGAAGAGGACGAAGAUAUAGACUACAAUGUACACAUGAUUAGUAAAGCAUCAAUUCUAUCUCCAAGACAUACUAAUAGUCUAAAAAAAUAGCACAAGAAAAGGUAUGUCAAUAAUACCUUUACAGGUCAAAACAAGGAGUAGUCGGGAGAAAAUAUCCAGUAGUGAUCAAUGAUAGAAAAACUUCAAUUUUGGAAUAUUAGAUCCGUUAACACUCAAAAAUCUUUUGAGAGAGUAAUGGAUUUAAAUAGAAGACAUCAUUAUUCUUUCAUAACAUUGAUGAAACCCUUUCAAAAGACAACUUGGUUUUGACCCAUGCAUGUGUAAAUUGUUUUGGGAAAAUAUGGCUAUUUUGGAAUGAAGAGUGACAGGCCAACAUUAUUCUGGACACGAUUCAACAAUUACUAUGCAGUUUAGCAAAAAUAACAAAAGUGUCAUCAUCUCAAGUGUUUAUGCAAGAUGUAAUGCAACGGAAAGAUUGGAAUUAUGGGAUGAUCUGGAGAGUCUUGUUGAUAGAGAACAGUGCCCUUGGAUUAUUGGUGGAGAUUUCAAUGUUAUCCUAAAUGAGGAGGAAAAGCUAGGGGGAUUACAAUUCACAAGGUGGAGGCUUUGGAUUUUGCCAUUUUUAUUAAUACUUGUGCGAUGACAGAGUCCUCUUUAUGGGAAGCAAGUAUACUUGGUGGAUGGUAAAAUUGAGAGAGAAUGCAUAUUCAAAAGGUUAGACAGAAGUUAGGUGAAUUAAGAGUUUAUGGAUUUAUUCCCUUCCUCUGAGGUAGACGACUUAAGUCGACAAGGAUCAGAUCAUGCUCUACUUCAGUUGGUAUGUAACUCAGAGGAAGAACCGGUUGUAAAACCUUUUAGAUUCUAAAAUUUUUGGAUCAAACAAAAUCAAUUCCAGGAUAUUAUUGCACAAAAUUGGAAGGUGGAAUUUGCUGGAAGUCCUUUUCUAGAAUUUUAGGCAAAAAUAAAGAGAGUUAAAAAGGCAUUAUCAUGUUAGGACAACGAAGCCUUUGGAAAUGUAUUUUCAUCACAUUGCUACUAUAGAGGAUUUCAUCAAGGUCAAGGAAAUUCAAAUGGAGUUACAACCCUCACUAGAAAAUGAGGCUGAAUUAAUCAAGAUGGAAGCAAAACUAAAGAAGUACCUUCACUUAGAAGUAGAAUUUUGGAAGAAAAAAGCCGAAAUGAAAUGUUUUGUAGAGUGUAAUAAUAGGAAGGUUCUUCAUUCGUACAUUAAAGGGAGAAGGAAAAAGUAACAUAUAGCAGAAAUCUUAACGGAUCAAGGUGAGGUUUUGCGAUCGAAUGAACAAAUUGGUGAUGUCGCGGUAAAGUUCAUUGCAAAUCAGUUCAGGGAAGAUAAUUUUGGCAAUGAAGAUGACAUGUUAGAAAAUAUCCCUAGAAGAAUUUCAGAAGAAGAAAAUGAAGAGAUAAUUAGGUUGUCAGAACAGAAAGAAGUCAGAAGGGUCGUAUUUGAAUUAAGUGAAAACAAUGCUUGUAGUCCUGAUGGUUUCUCAGGGAAUUUUUUCUAGGCCUGCUGGGAUAUAAUCAGAGAGGACAUUACAAAUUUGGUGCGAGCAUUGUUUUGUGGAUAGGAGUUGACAAAGUACAUAACUCGUACUAUUUUGGUCUUACUUACCAAAUAAGAGGUGGCGAAGAAUUUUUCUGAUCUCAGGCCUAUAAGUUUAAGCACAUUUACUAAUAAGAUCAUAUCUAGGAUGCUUCAUGACAGGGUGUUAGCAGUUCUUCCUAAUAUUAUAUCUUCGAAUCAAUCAGGCUUCGUAAAGGGCAGGAAUAUUGCUGAGAAUCUGUUGCUAGCUUAGGAAAUCAUCCAAGACAUAAAUAGGAGGAACAAAAAUAUCAAUGUGGUAGUAAAAUUUGACAUGGCAAAAGCGCAUGAUAGAGUUUCUUGGGUAGUCUUGACUAAAGUUCUAAGAAUAUUUGACUUUUCUGAGGUGAUUAUUGAUAUGGUAUGGCGUUUGAUUUCUAAUAAUUGGUAUUUAGUACUAAUAAAUGGUAAGUCACAUGGUUUUUUCCAUUCAAUGAGAGGUCUGAAACAAGGACAUCCACUUUCUCCUACCCUCUUCAUUAUUGCCGCUGAGGUUUUAGCUAGAAGCCUAAAUAAGUUGAAUAAGAAUGCAGCGUUUAAAGGAUUUGGUCUACCAAAGAGGAGUCCUAAGAUUAAUUACCUCUCCUAUGUGGACGACACAGUCCUGUUUUGUUCAGGAGAUAGGGUUUCAAUAAUUAAAAUGAUGAAAGUUCUAAGAUAUUAUGAAACUACUUAGGGAUAGAUGAUUAAUAAGGAAAAGAGUUUUUUCUAUCUUCAUGGAAAAACUCCAUUAAUUGUGGCAAUCAGAUUGAGAAGAUUAGCGAGAAUUAGGCAAGGCAACUUUCCUUUCAUGUACCUAGGUUGUCAAGUUUUAUAUGGGAGAAUGAAUGCAAUCUACUUUGAAGAAUUGAUAAGGAAAAUUUCAAGAAGGUGUUGUCAUGGCAGAAUAGAUUUUUAUAUUUCGGUGGCAAGAAAGUAUUAAUAAGUACUGUCCUACAAUUGAUUCCUAUAUAUCUCAUUUCGGCUAUGAACCCUCCAAAAAAAGUAAUUGAGCAAAUACACCAAAUAUUUGAAAAAUUCUUUUGGGGAAAUGUUGUGGGAGUUAAAAGAAAGCAAUGGGUGGCUUAGGGCGAUAUGUGCUUUCCGAAAAACGAAGAAGGAUUGAACUUUAGGUCAAUGCAUGUUGUUUAAAAAGCACUUUUUGCAAAGUUAUAGUGGAAUUAGAGUCUCCACAACAUCCAUAUGGGAAAAAUACAUGUGGAACAAGUAUUAUAAGAAAGUUUAUCCUGUCAUUGCCAAGAGUACUGGGGCAUCACAUGUAUGGAUAAAAAUGAUCAACGUUAGGGAGGAGGUAGAUCAUAUUAUUUGGUGGCAAAUAAAAGCUGGAAAUUCGAGUUUCUAGUUUGAUGAGCUCUUUUCUAUACGGAAGGAGAUAUGGCAAAAAAGGAGGUAAUAGAAGUCAGAGAAAUUUUUAAUAAUGGGGUUUGGAAUGAAGGUAAAUUGAAGGCAACAGUAUCUAAAGAAAUGUAUCAGCAUAUAAUAGAGAAUAUUAAAAUGUGCAACUAUCCAGUAUUGAUAAGGCUUAGAGGAUUGGUAACACAGGAGAGAGUUUCUCUGUCAAAUCAGCAUUUAACAUUCUCAGGAAUAAAAGGGACGAAUUUGAAUGGAGUACAAGUAUGUGGAGCAAGGGACUUGCUUUUAAGAUUGCGUUCUUUUUAUGGAGGGUAUGGGGCUAGUAAAGGGAAUCCAGGUCAAAGCGCAUAUGGUUUUUGCAUUAGAAAUAGAGAGGAGGAUUUAAUAUAUGCGGAGGCAGAAAGUAUAGGCUUGGUUACGAAUAUAGAGGCAGAAAUACAUGCGAUAUGGAAAGGUUUACAAUUUUGCUUAAGCCAGGCAUUUGUUCAAGUAAGAUUAGAAACAAAUUAUUUAGUUCUAAAAAACAUGAUCAUAAGGAAUUGGAGAAUUCCAUGGGAGCUGGUCGAGAAGAUGGAGGAAAUACAAGAGAUGAUACAUCAAAUGAAUGUCCAAGUUAAACAUAUUUCCAGAGAGGCAAAUAUGCUAGCAGAUUGUAUUGCUAAUACAUCAGUAUAUACAGUAGAGAAGACAGAAUUUCACAAUUUAAAUCAAUUGACAAGCAUGGGCAGGAGGAUUCAUAAUAUUGAUAAAUAACAGAUUUCGUUGAUCAGAGUAAAGACAAGGCGAAUAAAUUACAACAAUAACGACUAACAUGCUUAUAUACAAUUAUUUCACAACAAUUAUAUGUUAUGUUGGAUGAUCAAAAGAGUUGUAGGGGGAACUAACUAUCCUAUGUUACGACAAACAACAAAAAGUCAUCAGUAUGAAGCAAGAGAAAUUUCGUUGAAUUUGCAUUCGUCACCUACAUUCAUCUAGGAGAUCGAGAGGAAAGUGUUCAGGAGCUAAUCCCCAGAGUUGAAGACUCGUACUCUCUUUAGAUGUUCAUCAUGAACUUAUUCUAUUCGAGCAUUAGACAUUAAAAAAUUAAAGCAGAGUCAGCCGAGAAAAGGAGAAACAAAUAUGAGAGAUGGAAAGAGAAAGUUACUUUUGAAAGUUGAUCUUAACAACAUAACUAACAACAUCAGGAUGAAGAGUGUCAAUCACACAAAAAAGAAGCAUAGGACAAGCGAGAACAUCUUCGAGGAGGCGGAGAGCACAAUUAGGAAAUCCUUUCUUAAAAGGACACUUUUAUUACUCGUUUGGUCGUGAAAAUUUUGGACUGACCAGUUUUCUUUUUGAAUUAUGUAUUCGGAUCCGUUUGUGACUUUCUGUAUGAAUAAAAUAGACUUUUAGUCCAAAUUUAAUUUAGAAAAAAUAUUAACCUAAAAAUAAUAUUUAUUAAAACGACCAUGCUCAUAUGGACUUUUAGCCAAAAAAACAACUAAAUUUUUUUUAAGGAAUCAUUUAAGGUCCUUGAAGUGGUCCACUAGCCUUGGACCCUCCCUUGGACUUUGCCUUUGGCUUUUUAAAGCUAAGGCAUAUCCAUGGGGGUAUUCAAAUUACUUAUUUAUACCAUAUAUAUAUUUAUUUAAAAUAAUAUAGACAAUACUAAUUUAAUUUGGACUAGAAAAAAAAUACCGAAAAUGCCCAUUUUUAUGCCUUCCUUAGAUUGCCCAAAUAAAACUAAGUCAAUUACCAAAAGGGCUUCUAAGGGCCUUGGAAUGGUCUACCAUCCGUAAACCCUCCCUUUGACUUGCCUUAAGCUUUUUGAAAUUAAGGUAUAAGUCUAUAAGGGAGUACACGAUAGUGGCCCCCACAUGCAUUGCCUAGUGUACUAAGGCAACCCUCACACGUGGUGGUCCCUGUUCAGUAAGGCCCUCACUUUGACCUUAUACCCUCACGCGUAUAGCCCCUAAAAAAUCUUCUAAGUGUCUAAGCGGACCUUUAAGGGUCGUGGACUACUACAAGUUCCUUCAACCAUACAUAAGCUUCCAACUUUGCCAAAAAAUUUCUAGGUCAUUGUUCACGAAAGCUUCCAGGACAAUGGUGCUUUUUUUACCGUCUCUUAAAAAUAUACUUAGCCAAAUGUUUGGACAUUUUCAUAUUUCCUAUGCAUAAAAUUCUAAAAUUCAAAUGUUAGUCUCUACUUUCACCUAGUAAUUUUCCAGGUGUUACAAAUUCUCUUCAAAAAACUCUUCGAGAAAUAGUGAAUGCACAAGAACUUGAGGCACAGAGCCAAAGGCUAGGACUGGAAGCUGAAGCUGCUGCAAGAGGUUAUAACACCUCUAAAAGGACUUAGGUGAAGCCAGAGCCUAACAUGUGUGUCAUGAGGUUUAAAAUUACUAAAAUUGUUUAUAAUGAUUUUUUGAGGUAGUGUUUAAAGUUUGGAAGUGUUUAUAGGUCAAACGUCUAAGACGUUUGAUUUGCCUUGAGACGUGCUUGUAUGUUUAGGUGUGCCUUUGCAUGUUUUAUGCGUUGUAUGUAAUUUAAAUUGAUAAGAGAGGUUCCUAACAUGUAUUCGAGAGUAUUUUAGUUGGAAACGUCUGGUCAUGUCUCCAUAAGGACCGCCAUAGGGGUCCUUGAGGAAAACUCAACCUUGGGCUAGCAAGUUGCCCAAGGCAGCGCCCAACUACUCAUGGUAGGAACCAGUCCACGUCGCGGACAUUGGUUCAUGGAGGGCCAAAACAUUGGUCAGCGUCGUAGACACAAGGCGGACUCUACUAUCUUGGAUUUUAUUUUUAAAAAUCAUGCGGAAGCAGCUCCGCAUCGCGGACUUGUUUCCCGAUGAAACGUUAAAAGGUCCUAUAAGUGCAGGGGUCUUUUAGGUAUUUUGGGUACUAGUUAUAGGCAGUUAUUAAGCUUAUUUAAACCCCGAUUCACCAUUUAAAUCAAAACAAAACCUCUCCAUCUCUUCUCUCCAAAAACCUCCAUUGAUGAAGAUUUGAAGCUCUAAAGAAGAAGACAUAUUUCCAAGUUUUUCUCCAUCAAUUUAAUGUUUAAUGUGCUUUUCAUCACAAUUAAGAUAUGGUGUUUCAUCCUUGAAUCCUCUUUCUUCAAGGAUUCAAUUUCAAUGAAUUUCAAAGAUGAUCAAAAAGAUGAAUUCUUCUAUUUUCAUUUCUAACCAUGGGUUCUUGCAUAAAAUGUUUUAGAUCAAUGAGAUAUAAUUGAAUUAAUAUUAAUUUGAUGAUUUUGGAUAAAAAAAAAACUCCACAAACCCAUGCAAAUCAUGAAUUCCUUAUUUUGACUAUAUGAUGGGUGAUUUGAUCGUGUCUCAAUUGUGUUGAUUUCUUAUGUAGAUUUUAUUGGGCUAUUGAUAGGUAUGAAUUAUGUUAGAAAUGUAUAUAGGUUGUCUUAAUUUGAUGACUUUCAUAUUGGGUCUUGUUGAAUCAUUGUAUAUUGUGAUUAUUGGGUUGAAUUGGUGAUCAUGAUUAUUGGUAAAAGCCUUUAUGGAUUGAAUUGGCCGAAUUAACUAUGGAUUGGAGAUGUUGUGAUUGGAAUAGUGGUAUGUUGACCUAACCUAUUCUAUAUUGUGUAGUAUAUGUAUUUCAAUUAUAAUGCUUGGUAUGGUCCACUUAUGUGGCAGUGCUUAUACGUAAUACUUGUGAAUAAUGUGGUCUCGUCGACAUUACUUUAUGAAUUAUGAUAUUAUCAUGUUAUAACUUGAAUAUGUGAGUAUUGUGAAGGUCUUGAUGACUUAUGUGUAUAUGUGAAGUCAAAGUAUGUGUUCUUCUAAAUGAUUAUAUGUGAUCAUGAUAGGUUAUAGUGAUGCCUUAUAUAUAUAUGCUUGAUAUUGAAGUGUGAAUCUUCCUAGUUGACUGUAUGAACAUUAUGAUCAUUUAUGUUGAUGAUUCUAUAGAGGUGUGUAGGAUGACUUGCAAGUAACUUAGUUGACCAUGUGUGCUACUUGUAUUGUAUUGUACAUGUGAUAAGAUGAUGAAGUGUGUCUUGUUUUUGUAGACCUACGUCCCUUGCUUGAUGCAUGAAGAAUGUGAGUAUGAAUCCUUGACUUAGUAGGCUAAAACACCUUAGUCAUAAAAGUAUAUGUAUGAAUGGAAUAUGAUCUUGAAUAAGGUUAAGAAGGUCAUUUAUUUAGAACCUUUUAGAAAGAAGGUUAUGAUAUCCUUGAAAGUGAAAGUCAUAAUGGUAUUGAUACGCUCAAACUUACUUCUCCAAUAAGAAGUAAGGCGGUCGUGUCAAGUAAAUAACCCAACUAAUGAUGUUGGGAUCGUUCCCACGAGGAAAAUAGUUUAGACUUAACUUCAAUCUAUUAUUACUAUUGUUCAGUCAAUUACUUCCUUGGAAAUCAAAAAUGAUAAAAGGGGGGGUUUUCUAUUUUUAAAUAAAUGAAAAUAACUAGCGAAAUUAAAGGAGACAACUAACAGCUUCAAAUGUUGGAGUUUAAUCAAUUAAUCAAAGUAACUAGGGUUUACGUGUUCCCCACAGGUUCGUAACUUGAUAAUUCUAACUAUAACAAUUCUUUCCUAAUAUCUUGCAUGCAAAGUGAUAAGUUAUGUAUUUCUAACUCCUUGGUUCGGCAUCUAGAAAAUUUCACUCCGCACCUUGGUCCGGCUACGUGUGUUGCUAUACUCACCCUUAUUUUUUACCUCAUAUUAAGCAUCAUAUUCGAUAUUUGACUAAGUUAUUACCUCGUACCAAUAAAUACUAGCCUAUUAGAUAGUAUACACUAAAUCUAUGUUGAUAAUUCUUUUCCUAUUAUCUACCUCCUUGGUCCGGCAAGUAGCAUUAAGGCGAAAUCUAACGUUGGUCAUCUGUUAAAAAGACUUCUAAGCAAAAGAAUUAUCAAUACAUGCAAGACACUAUUCUAGAAUUGUUAUUUUAGUUAGGUUUUACCUCAUUAUUCGCCUAUGGUUCCCACAACCCUAGUUAUGGAGUUUAGUUACCCAUAGUCAUAAUCACAAUAUUCAAAUAUAUGGUAUAAGAAUUCAUGUACUUACUUCAAUGAGAAAGAGUAAAAUCCGAAAGUUCGCUUGAUUAAUCAACGAAAAUCACCAACAAUCAAUUACAAGAAUCUCAAAAUAAUCAAGGUUCUAACCUCAAAAACGAGGUUUUUCAAACUAUUUAUAAAAAAUAAAAACCUAAUUAAGUAAAGACUGUAUUAGCUGGAAAUCUGUCAAAACGCAGCUAGGUCGACGGACCGUCGUGGUCACGAUGGACCGUCAUGGACUCCGUCGUCCCAUACUUGUACAAUUUCUUCUUCUGCUCUCUUCAUCACUCUCGACGGCAAAUAUGACGGAUCGUCACAGGCACAAAGGUCCGUCGAGGGUCUCCGUUCCAAAACACUUAAACUCUUGGAAUUUGGGUACUGGGACUACUUCUCUGAAUUUCAUGACAAACCAGCAGGAUGGACCGUCAUGGCUACGACGGUCCGUCACGCACUCCGUAACCCCACACUUGGUCAGAAUUCCCCAUCUUACUUCAGCAGCUGCACUACGAUGCCACCUACGGACCGUCACGGGCACGACGGACCGUCACAAGCUCCUUAGGUGGUACUUUUUUGUAUUUCUUGCUCAAAAACAUCUGCAUUCUUCUUUUAGACAGAUUUCCUGCAAAUAAAAAGAAACUUACAUAAAAAUAAGCACAAAAAGGCUUUUGGACACACUAAACUUAAGGAAAAAGUAUUAAUAAUACCAUGAAACCACGGUUUAUCAGGUAUCCUUCUUGUGUGAAUGGUGGACUUCGGAUGGUUGACUGGAACAAUAUGAAAUCAUCCUUAGGAAAGACAUUGAGCUAUCCUAGUAAACAUUGUAGGCAGCCCUAGUGGACCCUCUUUGGUAACGUGUAUUGUGAUUUGGUUAUGAACAAUAUAUGGUACCUCUUCAUAUGCUCCUUUAUUGAAUUACUCUAUGAUAACAAAGGCUAGCACCGAGUGAGUAUACUUGGGGAGUAGCUCUAUUUGAGAUGGAGACUUGAUUACAAAUAAACCCUUUAUAUUCCUUAAUCAUGUACCUACAUGGGUUGUGUCCUCGUUCUACCAUUGGCAAGUAGUUUACCUUUAUUAGAGUAGGGUUGACUCCAAAUUACAUGCCUAGCUAGUAUGGUCUAUGUUAUUUAUUGCUUAUGCUCAUCAUGUGGGAUACAUAUUAGUAUUAGGAUAAGUUCUAUGAAGUUUAGGUAGUGGAAUGGGACGCUAUCUAGACAUUGCAUGAGUAGGCUUUGAAGAUGUUAGUAUUUAGGUUCCCUAGGUCUUCUCCAAGAUCAUUAUGUGAAAUUCCUUAUUGUUGAAUGUUUCUUAAAUGGUCUAAUGAACAUAGUGACCUAAGCUAAAUGCAGGGUAAUGAGAAGGUACUUAUCUAGAGUAGAUUUGAGGAUUGCUUAGAUAGGCUUUGAGAGGGUGUAUGGGUGUUCUCUUUAUGUCUUACUUAAGUGAGUCAUAGAGUAAUUCUAGGUAGUGAUUUUAAAUGUAUGAAAUGGUAAUAAUCUUAUCUUAGGUAAUCUAAAGGAUCAAUUUUGGUGUGUGUGAAGGAUUGUAUGGGCGAUCGCUUCAUAACCACUCAAGUGAGCCUUAAAAUUUCCUUUGUUAUGAGGGUCUCAUGGUUAUGUGAAUUGAAGUGAUAUUGAUGUCAUAUUGUGUAAUGUGAAUAUAUGUGCUUAUGUUGAAUUAUGUGAUCUCUUGUACUUGUUUAAUGAAAUUUUACUCAAAAAGAGCAUGUUUUAUACAAAUGUCCCUUCAGCAUGAUUUUGAUUGCAUGUCACCAUACUUAGUGCAUUUUAAUGUACUUAACUUCAUAUAUUUUAUCUUAUCUCUAAAGGUGUAGGUGACAUUUGAGAGGAGUCUUGAAGUGGAAGCUUGGAUUAGUGUUCAUCAAGCAAGUGUUGGUAUGUCCUCACUAUAUUCGAGGACAUUAUGAUGUUUAGUUGUCCUUAUUGAAAGUAUUGUAAUAGACAUAGAUGUUUCUAUAUUUUGAUGUAUGGGUCGUGUCCCAAGAUAUUCGUGUGUCUAAGAUGACAACUUUGAGACUUAAGUAUUUCCUAUAAUGUUCUAUGAAAGAUAUUUUGAAUUAUUAUUAUUUCGUGUGAAAAGUUUUAUUACGCACUACUUUUCAUACAUGUAUGCAAUGAAUGAUGUGAAAGGGCUUGUACAAGACCUCUGAAAGGUCAAGUAUGCCGUGUCACGAAUUCUUAGUACCAUAUCUUUAGGCUAUACUCUCGGAUCGUGAAAGAGGUAUUUAGCCAAAUGUUGUGAACAACCAACCUAUGACAGUGAACAAAAACAUAGUGGAUGAAAUCAUUCCUUCCUACCGCCAAACAGUAGCUCCAAAAGGUAAACCACAACACCCAACUUGCAUAAUGUAUGAAGAAUAUGAUGCAAACUUAGAUUGAGUUGGAGCUACAGGAGAAAUAGUAUUACCUGCACUGCUUCAGGUGUGAAUUCACAAUCACCAGCACUAUAAUCCAAUUAUUGAAUCUGAAAGGUGUGUUUAGGGAUGCAGCUGGUGAUGAUGUGAAUCAAUACUUGAUGAAAUUUUUGGCGAUCUACAAAUCACAAGAAAUCCAUGAGGUUAGCUAGACACUAAUGAGACUGAGAGUGUUUCAUGUUGUCUCUUAUUGGAGAUGCAAUAAAUUGGCUGAAUGAGAUACCUGAUGACUUAAUCAGGACUUCGACUAAACUGAAGUAAGUGUUCAUGGAACAAUUCUUUCCAGAAUUAAAAGAAUAGCAAAUGAAAGACGAGAUAAGUGAUCAUAAGCAGUUACCAAGAGAACCAAUGCAUUGACAUUUGGUGGAGAUUCAACCAAAAGUUGAAAAAAUGUCCAAACUAUGGUCUUGCUGAGAGAUAUCUAAAAUGGACAUUUAAUAUAUCUUUAAAUUAUGUUACGAAACUUGUUGUUUAUUUAGUGUGUACAUUAAAGCAUGCAACUGAUGGAUACGAUAUCAAACAAUAAGAGGACAUGGUACACGAGGAGAUCUUAGGUAUACUUAUGAACUUUCCAAAUAGAGAAGAAGAAAGGGAUGAGGACAUGGCAUACAUGAGGACUCAAAUAGAUAUACUCACGAAGCAUAUUGUCUCCAAGUCUAAAAAUCUCAAUGUUGUGGGACAACAAAAAUGGUAUAAAGAUCAGGACAUCAAUCUAGAUGAGGAGGUUAGUUACCUGGCCACCAAGAAGGUUUCCGAAAUUAUAACUCGGGAAACUGGGUACCAAUAUGGAAAUGCAGGUCGGAAUUACUCUAGAGAAGGACAUUAUGAUAGGCCAGCAAACAGAGAGCAUAAAAUUGGCAGAACAGAUAUUGAUACAGAAAUGAUCGCAGUUGUGACUAUGUUCCCCCAGGAAGUAGAGACCGAGCAAGUGGUACUUCCACCGGGUCUAAGCUGGAAGACAUGUUGUCAAGGUACUAAAAAAAGUGAAAUUAACUAAUGAAGAAGUGAAGGAGAUUGAGGUUAAUUAUCCAGUAUUAUUUAACUGGUAGACUUUCACACCACCUCCAUCAAGCCAAUUAAGCAGCAGUUGGGGAAACUUUCAACCUCAUUAAAUCAGAGGAAGAAUGGGUCACUAUCAAGUGACACGAUUUAAAAUCCUAAGAAGGACGGGCAUGCAUGGUUAUCGCCACAAUGCGUGGUAAGAUUAUUACUUACCCUAUUUCUACAAGUAUUAAACAUGAUCAGAUGUUGGAGCAAGCUGGAAGAAAGGAGGAUGAAGCUGAGCAUGUACAUAACUUGGAGGAUGCUUAGUCAAUAGCAUAACCUGCAAGAGGAAAAGAAAAGGGGGUUGAGGAAACAUGAUUUUACAGAAAAUCCCAAGACCACCUCCUCAUUUGCCUCAAAGGCUUAAAAAUAAAGCCGAAGAUAGGAAAUUUGCAAAGUUCAUCACCAUGCGGCGACAACUGUCAGUCAACCACUGGUGGAAGCACUAGAGCAAAUGUUAGACUAUUCCAAGUUCAUGAAGGACUUGGUCACAAAGAAAAGAGUUGUAAGAAUUUAUUUAAAUGAUAAUGUUCAACAUUGUAGUGUUACUACUACUAGGUCUCUGGUACAGAGAAGGAAAAAUCGGGUGCAUUCACCAUAAUUUUCACUAUCUGAUCAAUUUAAUUUGCAAAAGCCUUGUGUAACCUUGGGUUAGCAUAAACUUGAUAUCACUGGCUAUCUACAAGCAACUAGGAAUGGGAGUUCUGAAACCCAUAACCAUAAGGUUGAUGAGUGCAGAUAGGUCAGUGAAGCGACCUGUGGGCAUCCAAUAUGAUGUGCUCAUAAAGGUGGAAAUGGUUAUCUUUUUUGUAGACUUCGUGAUCUUGGAUGGCAAAGAAUAUUUUUAGGUUACCAUUAUUUUAGGAAGAACAUUUCUGGAUACAAGGCGAGCAUUGGUAGAUAUUGAGCGAGGUGAACUGAAAUUCAAACUUAACAAGGAAGAGGUAAAGUUUAAUAUCUGCAGGUCCAUGAAUCAACCACAUGACAUAAAUGUAGUGUCUGUAAUAGAUGUCUUUGAUGAAGAAGAAAUAAGAGCAACCAUUGAAGAGAGGCUGGUUGUUGAGACCUUAGCUACAGGCUGAUGAAUUUCCAAGCUGAUUUUUGGUCUGACUAUGUCGAGACCAUGAAUGAUUUGCAUGACAUGAGAGCACACUCUUAUGCUUCAAAGUUAUUGGACCUGGAUUUGAAAAACAAGCAAAGUCCUCCAGCAAAGCCAUCCAUUGAUAAACCACCUUGUGUGAACUAAAAUAGUUGCCCAGUCACCUAAGGUAUGUACUUUUUGGGAACUAACAACACUUUACCAAUGAUUUUGGCUGCAGAUUUGAAUGAUGAACAGGUCCAAGUUGUGAUCAAAGUGCUAAUUAGGUACAAAAGGUCCAUUGGUUGGACAAUGCUGACAUUAUUGUAUACAACCGGGUCUAUGCACCCAUAAGAUCAAACUUUACGAGGAUUACAUAUCAAGCAUUAAACACUAGAAGAAGAUAAACCCGCAUAUGCAAGAAGGUCAGAAAGGAGACAAUCAAGUAGUCAGAUGGUUGGUAUGUAGACACUAGUUCAAUCCAAUGCAAUGUGUGCCCAAAAUGGUGGUAUAAUUAUCGUCGCAAAUGUAAAGAAUAAGUUAGUCUCACAAAGACUAGUUAUUGGAUGGCGAGUGUGUAUGGACUAUAUUAAGCUAAACAAGUGGACCUUGUAGGAACACUUCCCCAUGCCCUUCAUGGAACAGAUACUUGAUAGGUUGGUUGUAAAAGGGUGGUAUUGCUUCUUAGAUGGAUACUUUGGCUAUAACCAGAUAUUGAUUGCUCUUGAAGAUCAGGAAAAUAGUACCCUUACAUGUCCAUAUGGAACCUCCGCGUUUAAACGAAUGACAUUUAGACUACGUAAUGCACUGGCAACUUUCCAAAGGUGUAUGAUGUCUAUCUUCUCUGACAUUGUGGAGGAUACUCUAGAGGUCUUCAUGGAUGACAUUUCAGUUGUAGGUGAUACCUUUGAUGCUUGUAUUCUGAAUCUUAGAAGAAACCUACUAAGAUACGAGAAGGAAAAUCUAGUGUUGAACUAGAAUAAGUAUCAUUUUAUGGUCAAUAAAGGCAUAAUCCUCGGUCACAAGAUGUCAUAGUAAGGGAUUGAGGUCGACAAUGCUAAAAUUGAGGUGAUUGAAAAGUUACCUUCACUGAUCUGUGUGAGGGAGUUCGAAGUUUCUUAGGACAUGCCUUGUUCUAUAGGUGUUUCAUUAAGGACUUAUCCAAAAUUGCACACCUCAUAUGGCAAGAUUUUCGAGAAGGAGAUGAAAUUUAUCUUUGACGAGGCAUGCCUUCCUAAGGGAGAUGAUGAUUUUUGAACCAGCGAUCAUUGGGCCCGAUUGGGUAGAGCCAUUGAAGGUAAUGUGUGAUGCUAAUAGUACUGCUUUAGAAGUUCUAUUGGGACAGAAGCACAACAAGAUGUUUCAUCUGAUUUACUAUGCUAAUAAUACACUAAAUGGAGAACAACGCUACUCUACAAUAACUGAGCACAAAAAAUUGGCGGUUGUGUAUGCUUUGAAAAAUUCCAAAUUUACUUGUCGGGCACUAAGUAGUCCAUACAGACCAUGCAUCUCUAAGGUACCUCAUGACAAAUAAGGAUGCUAAACAAGAUCAGAUGAAUGUUACUUCUCUAGAAGUUUUACUUUGAGGUUAAGGAUAGGAAAGGUUGUCAGAACCAAGUGGCUGAUCAACUAUCGAGGUUGGAGGCUGAAAAGAAAGAGGAACUCGAGCUCGGUACAAAUGAUUUGUUUUCUGAUGAGCAGGUAUUAGCCGCUACUCUUGAUCUUAUUCCUUGUUUGCUGAUUUUCCUAACUUUCUCGUUAGUGAUUUGAUGUAUGAGGGGUUGACAUAUCAACAAUUAAAGGGAUUCCUACAUGAUGUGGGUAAGUAUUUUUGGGAUGAACCUUAUUUGUACAAGGUGUGUGCUAACAACAUCAUCAGUCUAUGUGAUGCGGAACUUGAAAUGUUGCAUAUUCUAAAAUCGUAUCAUGCUUCUCCGGUAGUUAGACAUCAGUAUGUGAUGUAUGUAGUAAGGAGUUGUGAUGUGUCCCAACAUCGAAGAGACAUCUUUUUGCGACAUGAGUCACCCAUGACACCUAUUUUGGAUGUGGAGUUGUUUGAUAUGUGGGGAUCGACUUCAUGGGACUAUUUGUAAGCUCCUACGGGCAAAAGUACAUAUUAGUUGUAGUGGACUAUGUGCCCAAAUGGGUUGGGUAGUUGUUUUGCCUGAGAAUGAUGGAAAGAGAUUUAUCGAUUUUCUUGAAGAAGAAUAUCUUCUCAAGGUUGUCAUACCCAGAGCUAUCAUCAGUGAUGGUGGUUCUCAUUUCUUCAAUAAGGUGUUCGGUUUUCUUCAAGCUACAUAUGGAGUUAAAUAGAAUAAGGUAGCAACAAUUUAUCACCCACAUACCAGUGGCCAAGUGGAGGUCUCCAACAGAGAAAUUAAAGUAAUUCUGGCUAAAACAAUGAAUGUCAAUAUGACAGAUUGGGCAUGGAAGUUAGAUGAUGCUCUAUGGGCAUAUCAUACAACUUUCAAGACGUCUAUUGGUAUGUCUCCAUAUCAAUUAGUGUUUGUAAAGAUAUAUCAUUUUCUGGUUGAGCUUGAUCAUAAAGCAUUAUGGGCUUUGAAGAUGUUGAACCGUAGUUGGAGUGAAAUUGUGAACCUGAGAUUAAAUCAGAUCAAUGAGAUAGAUGAGUUCUAUCUGAGAGUCUAUGAGAGGUUUGCACUGUAUAAGGAGAGGAUGAAGUUAUAUCAUGACAAACAUAUUGAGAAAAAAGAUUCAAUCCUAGUGAUUUGGUAAUUCUUUUUUAACUUCAGGCUUCAUCUGUUUUCGGGUAAAUUGAGAUCCAAAUAGUUGGACCUUUUAAAGCUACUCAAGUGUUUCAGAUGGGUGCUAUUAAUCUUGAAAAUGACAAGCGCGAGAAGUUCAGAGCCAAUGGUCAGUAAAUCAAGGCAUAUUUGGGUGUUCUAGAGGAUGUGAAAAUCGUGGAGGAAUGUAAACUUGAUGAAAUCUGAGUAAUCAAGUAACCCGCAUCACACUGCGACUUUAAAUUAUGCAACCCAAGAUGUAAUUGUAUUAGGUAUUUUCCUUUUUCCUUAUUUUUCUUUAGUUUUAUAGAGUCAUUAUGUGUUGAUGUGUGCUGGAGAGAAUGUCUUCAAAAUUGCAAGAAUAGGGUGUAAACUACUCUUCACAGGAAGCUUCAAAGACUAUGGUGCCCGUCACGGGCAGUUUCACGUUCCGUCAAUCUUAGCACCAACCUAAAGGAUCAACUAGAAUUUACAAGAAAAAAGUUGACGAAAAGGUUCACGGUCCGUCAUGAUUUGUAUGGCCUCUCGUGAACCACAUGUAAGUAUGUUGUCCCAAGUCAUGUUCACGAACCAUUUCACAGACCGUGAUGCUCUUCAUGGGAAGUUUCACAGUCCGUCAUCUGUUAUCCAGCAGCACCAGACCCAACCGGACCCACGAUGAACCUAAACUUACAGGAAACAUAUAUUAGAUUCCUAGGCGCCAAAUGUUGGCUUCUUACCCUUAUUUUCUCUUCAUUCUUUAUCUUAUAACAGUUACUAGGUAUAACCAUUUCCUAUCAUAAAAACAAUCUUAGUUCCUCAAAGAAUUCAAACCCUAAACUAAAGUUGGUCAAGAAUUUCAAGUCAGGUUCAUCUUUACCUUUUUGAGGGAAAUUUUCUUUUAAGUCCAAGUAAGUUUUUUCUACCUUGUUAUAAGUUUGAUUUUAUAUAAAAAAAACAGUUACAUUCACUUCGAUUUAGUCGAGUUUAUCAUGUGUAUAUGAUGAACUAUCUUGGUUGAUAUUGAAUUAUUGUGGGUUGCAAUAAAUUAAGUGUUCUUGUAUCUGGGUAUGAUUACAGUAGGUAGUAAUUGUGUGCUCACUGUGUUUGAUUAAAUUGGUUAUGAUUUUUUUUAGGAGGGUUAGUUGAAUUUCUGGAUAAAAGUGUUGAGUGGUGGAUAUGUGUUGAUUGUGAUCUUGUGGAAAAAUAAGGGUUUGACACUAUAAAUAUUUCUUAUAGACAAUGUGAGGAAGACGGUUACUAAAGAAAUGGGUAAAUGUAUGAUCACGAUAGGUUUAACGAACCAUGGAAGCUACCAUGAGUCGUGAAACCAAUCGUGGACGACACUUGAAUUCAUUCCACCUAUUAGAAAAGUUCAUAACCAGUAUCACAUAUUGUGGUUCACUCCAUGGGCUGUGUAAUCAUCCGUGAACAUUACUUAGUCAACCCUAUGUUUUAUUUUUUUUAUAUUCUUAUUUUGUUCAUCUUUUGAUUUCGUGGACCUUUCCAGUGAUAGAUUGGGUGACGACAUUCUUAAGGCAAGCCGUCACGAUGUAAUUACAUAGGGGAGAUCUGAGUAUUUGAUAUUAUGUCAUUUUAUUGACUUGCGUAACUAAUUAUUUUUGUAAUUCUCAGGUACUAUAGCUCCCCAAAGAAAGAACGCAGACAAACCUACCCCCUCCUCUCAAUGCUUCUCAAUCAUAGGAUCGUGAUAACUCCAAUUCUAGUAGUUUUGAGGUGCAAAUAAAUGCCACCAUUGAUGAUCACUCACCUUGGUCUACUAGAGCACAGACAAAGAGGAAAAUUCUCCAGGAUACUCUUCCCUAGUCUGAAGAGGGUAGUAGUCAUUUUGUUAGCAGUGAAGAAUCAGGUAGUGAAUAUAAUGUGGGCUCAGGUAGACAGUCCACUAAUAAUUUUUGGGGCAAUGCUAAGUCUGAAAGUGGCUCUCAGGAAGAUCCAAACACCUCUCCACCUGCGGUAAAUACAAAAGCUGAAAUUAGAGUAUAAGAUGAGACAGAUGAUAUACAUGAGGACAUAGAGAUCACCAUUGAUGAUAUCAUGGUAAUAUAUGUGAACAUUCACGAACCUGAUCCCGCAGCAAGACAAUAGUUGAUUGAUUGUUACCGUUCCAUGUGGAAUGUGAAUCAGUCUAAAGAAUUUUCCAACAAUGCUAUCGUGGCCAAUAAUGGCAGCAAGAAAGCUGAUAUCAAGGCAUUCCCCGAGAUUUAUCGGACAUUAUAGUUCCAUCAGUUCGAUUGGAUGAACAAUGCAUCAAGAGGAUACUCUAACCACCUAGACAAAGAGCUUUAUUCAUCUUAUACAACUACACUAAUGAAGUUUGUUGCCAUUUUUUGAGGUCCACUCAACUCAAUUAUAGUUCGGGGAAAAUGGAUAGAUAUCUCCAAGGCUAGUAUUAACAGGAUGUUUCAUGUCCCGAAAUACUCUUUACUAGAUUCAGUUGGUAUUUUGAGGGAAAACAUAAUUACAAAAGAUUCACUAUAUUUUCCAACCAAGGUUUGGUGGAUUGUUAUCCAUGUGCAAUUGAGACCGACAACUAAUGAUAACACAUUGCCUCCUUCACUGACUUCUUUGGUAGCAUGCCUCAUGGAUGGUUACCCGGUAAAUGUGGGGCUCAUCAUAGCGUCCAAGUAGUGAGACAUGGCACUAAAUGAGAGGCUGAAUUUUCAUUUCCCAGUCUGAUAAGAAUAUUAUGUCGACAAGCAAACAUUCCCCCAAACAAGAUGGUUGACAGAUGGGGUGAAGCAUUCAGACUAACCCAGGUUUCUAAAAUCAAGGAUUUCGCGAACCAUCUUUUUGGUGCAAGUCUGGAGAUGUGGGUAUUUUGGUCACCGUUCCUCUUGUCCCAAUUGAUAUUCCACAUGAAACAGAGGGCCAGAGUAGGGGGAGUCAUCCCAAACAUCUACAGAGGCACCACCACUAUCGACUUUCGCCUCACAUGCUCCGGGUACCUAUGUCACUAUUCCCAUGAUUUUUCUUGAGAAAUUGGUCGUAGAUCAGCACCAAACUAGGACCUUGGUAGACCAGAUUGUGAAUUAGAUGGUUUGGAGAACUUUGUUCAAGAUCAUUUCCAGGCCACAGAUGCUAAAGAGUUCAAAGAACAAAUAGCCUAGAUGCGAACUCAGGUUUCUUAACUGGAUGAAAAUCCAGUACAUGUACCCACUCCGGUCAUGCUAGAUUCUUUGAUGAAAUUGCUAAAUUAGGCACCCUCCACUUAAUUAUUUGAUGAUUUAUGGGGUAACUUACCUAAGCGUGAGUCAGACAAGAAAGAAAAAACCUAGAGAAUAUGAUGAUGAGCUAUCAGCUGACAUGUCUAGAGAAGAAAGAAAGCAACACAAGAAAGCAUGCAGGGCAUCAAAGAAGGGAGCUCGUGAAAAAAGCACUUGAACAACAACAAAGAGAUGCAAUGUUAGUUGGGGAUUCUGGUAGCAGAGCACCUAUCUCGGUGAGCUGAAGCCAACCUGAUCAUGUGCCGAAUUCUGAGAGUGCACCCCUUGAUAUGGGUGUCAAUGCUGAUUUGGGACCGACGCCUAGAGCGUCGUAGGUAUGACUCCUCUUCAUAGCCUUAUUUUGUUUUGUUUUUCUUUAUUUGACUUUGAGGGCAAAGUCCUUUUUUGGGAGGGGUGAGUAACCUGCCAUUUUAAGGUGUUAGAAUGAAUGGAGGUUGACUCUCUGUUAAUUGUGAAAAAUAGUUUUGUGGGUAUGCAACAACUGGUUUCUGUGUAAUAUUUACCUUGAUCUGAGAUUUGAACGUUAGGAUCUUUAUUGACAUCUAGAUACUUACUUGUUGAACACUGCCAGUUUGAUAAAUAAAUAGGUGAACCAAGAAGCUGGAGAAUGUAAUCCUGUGUCAUGUGUGUUUGUGAAUGUUGUUUGAAGUCCAACACUAGGAGCAGAAACUAGAACUUGCCCGAAUUGUCUAGCUUAAAUCUGAGAAUAACCUGAUAAGAAAGGAUCAGUAGAUCAUUUUUGUUAAGCCAUUAAAAAUCCCAAAAAAAAAUAAAAUAAAACAACCAAAUUAAAGCGUAUAACUUGAAACUGAUUUGAGACUAAAAGUGAGAUUUUGUUCUUACCCAAUAAAUAUCAUAUCCUUUGGUUUUCGAAGAUACGAUGUUACAACUCAGGUCAAAAUUCUAAGUUGAGGGUGAUUGCAAUCCGAGCAGAAAAAAGAAGUGAAAAAAAGGUUCAACCAGUGAGUUGAGUGCAUACAAAAAAAAGGUAUAUAUAUAAAAAAAAUUUAAAUAAAAGAAAACAAGAAGAAAAAAAUAGUUGGUAGAUAUGCUCAAAUGAAGUAAAAGAGGGAAUUGCUCAGAAAGGAGUUGUGUGCCAACGAAACUUUGAAGAACCAAAGAACCAGUCAAUCACAAAUCCAAAUAUCAUUACCUAGUCGGAGACUAUGUUACAAACCGAUAAAGUCCAACAAUGAUCCUAUUCCGCAUGAUUGAAAUAUAGAGUACAGAAAGCAAGUGCAACCCUAGCGUUGUUUGUUGUUAGUGUUAGAAUUUCUUCGAGAGUGUGAGCGUAGUACUUAGUCCCAAUUAUCAUGAGUGAAGGAUUUCUUUGGUGUGAGGACACAAUGAUUGCAUUCGAGAGUAGAUUGUGUUAGCUGAUAAUUCAGUCAUAAGCAUGAUUAACCGUAAGUAAUGAGAAAUCGUAGAUUGAUCCUUGCAUGUUAGAUUCAUGGUUUUGGAUACAAUUUGUGUUUGAGAUGGCUAUUGUGUAGUUUCAAAGUGUUUGAAUAAUUUGAGGAUUUGAAUGUGUUGUUAUCUUAUCAUUUGAGGACAAGUAAUGGUUUUAAGUUGAGGGUGUUGAUGUGCCGCGAAAUCUUGACACAUUUGAUGCUUGAAAACUAAUACUAGAAUUGAGUGUAUUUUUUUAUACUUUGAUGUGUUUGUUGAAUGUGUAGACAGAUUCUUACUUGUGUGAAAAAAUGAAAAAAGAAGCAAAAAAUGAUGGGAAUCAAGUAAAGAUCACGGCCAACCUCAGGAACUGUGAUUCUCAUAACGCUCUGUGGUUGUGCUCGUGAAGUUGAACCAAUAUUGGGCCUUGGGAAGAUGGAGUGCACGAGCAACUAAGUGAAAACCACAGAAGGCUCCACGGAUCGUGGUAAUUAUAACAGCCUGUGGUGGUGAUCAUGAAGAUGAUCCAGUACUUAAACCUUGAGAAACAUAAAUGGAAAGUUACCAAGUGAAGAUCUCGGGCACAUUUACGAACCGUGGUAAGUGCUAUGAUAUGUGGUGUUGUCCGUAGUACUCUUUCCAGUGUGAUGGCAUUGAAGACCCGACUUUGGAAAAUUCCAAGUAAAGAGCCCAGAUGGACCGUGGUCAUGUUGUCCGUGAUGCAUGUUCUAGUGAUCAAGUAUUGAAGACCCAAUUUUGGGGAGUUCCAAGGGAAGACCAUGGAGGGCUUCACAAAUCGUGAAGCCCUUGACGGGUCGUAGAGUUGUCCAUGUUGCCUGCAUUUCAUUCCUACUCUUUCUAAAAUACUUUAUUUGAAUUAAUUAGGUCAUUUUUAUUUUUUUUGUCUCUUCUUACCAUGAACGAAAAAUACUUUAUUUGAAUUAAUUAGGUCAUUUUUAUUUUUUUGUCUCUUCUUACCUUGAACAAAAAAUACAUUUCCAGUAUUCGAAGUUUUGGAUUUUUGAUUUGAAUAUUGAAUUAAGUUUGAAGUUUGAUUUUCUAGCUCUUGAAUUAUCAAAGUAGUUGUUGAUUUGUUUUUUCUUGUAAGUACUUUCUAACAUGUUUUCAAUCUAUAUUUUUGAACAUUUACUUGAAAUAGUAAGUAGCUAAACACCAAAACUGGGGUUGUGGGAUCCAUGACGUAAUUCUAAUUAUGAUUUGGUAAAAUGAGUGAAAAGCAAUGUGAAAUUACAAACUACAGUUUAGCUUUCGUUAUUUAUGUAUUUAGAUGAGUGCACGCAUUAGAGUGAGCCAGUAUCUAUCAUUUGUUCGAGAGAAAAAUGAUAGUUACCAAAAAAAAUGAUUUAACCAAACAAAUUGGAGUUAAAGUUCGAGAAAAAAUGAAGAGAAUUUUAACACCAUUGUAAGCGAGGGUAAAAUUAGUAACAUUCCAGGGCCAAGAGGACUUGAGUAAGAAUUAUCUGAUUAGACAGAGAAGUGUCAGAUAAAGUUAACUCGUGUAGAUUUUGUAAAGAUGAAUUGCCUGAAACUCAAUUACGCAAGAACACUCUAGCAACGUUAUGGGGAACACAAUUCUAGUUUCUUUUAAUUAGUGAAUCAACUUUAUACCUUAAGACUCUAUUAACUGUUUAAUCUGUAUUUCUAAUGCAAAUCUUAAUUAUUAUAACAUUAAAACUAAAUCCAAGUUACUUUCCGUCAUUGUUUCUUAAGGAGAUAAUAACGACAUUCUAGUAAACACGACAAUGAAACCAUUUUUAUAAAGAAAUUCUCUAUGGGAUCGACCUCAACCCACGUUGAAUUUUGUAAAUUGACUUCGACUGUUUAUAUCUCUUAAUUGAGGUGUAAGUUUGGACGUAUCAAAGAUAUAUGACGAGUUAAUAAAUGUGUUCUCAAUCGAAGUACCAAGGCACUAAUCAAGGUCAUUGGCAUCCUUUGCAAAAGAAUCAAGAUUGGAGAGAUCAUGAUGGUCAAUGAAGAGAUCGAGAGUGACGUGAGAGGUAUCAUGCAAGAAUGAAGGAGAGGUACGAUCAUCAAAGCUCAAAUAUGUAAUUACCUUCACAUAACACUAAAGCCCCAGCUAGCCAAUCAAGUAUGAGUGAUCCGGCAUGCUCUGAGGGUUGAGGAUAUGCUAAAUUGUGUGCUAAAGUGGGCAGAGUCAAUGGAUAUGGGGUUAUGGAACUCAAAAACGAUGUCUUAAAUUUGAUCUUUCUCAGAUUUUUACUCUUUGAUUCAAUGAUUAAUAUGAUUUUAUUUUUUGUUGGUAGAAUUAAUUUUUUUUCACUAACUUUCUUGUAUAAUUUAUCAAAUAUGCCCAAAAAGAGGAAUUUUAAAAAAUAUAGCCGAAAAAAUUAAUUUAAAUUUGUUCUCUUUUUCCAUUCACUUUUUAGUUAUUUCACACAUUUUUGCACUAAAAAUGAAAAGGAAAAAAAAGGGAAGAGACUAAUAAUCAAAGAGGUCAAAAAUAAUCAUGUGUGAAAAAAUUAUAUAUACCCCUAUAUAAAAAAUAAAAAGAAAUCACUUUCAUUAGAUUAAAGGAGGAUGCGGGAUGGAAAAAUUAUAUGAAUUGAUACAUUUUUAUAAAUAAUUACUGAUUUAGGCGAUACUUUUUAUUUAUUAUCAUUUAUAGCAAUAUUAUGUUAAAUAUGUAAAUAUGUAUUAAAGUGAAUUAUGUAUACAAUACAUAUAAAUUACAAUUGCUUUUUGAAAUAUAUUAUGUUUGUUUGGUAAAAAUUUGACACAUUGUAUUAAAAUGUGUGAUGAAUGUAUUAUUAUCAUUAAAACUUGUAUUGUAUGUGAGUAAUAAAUUGUUCUUUGUAAUAUGUAUUAAACUUAUAUUAUAAAUGAAUAAAAGUGAUCAAGUGAGAAAAAAUAUUAUUACUAUACAUGUUAAAUAUUUUUUUAUUGUAGUAUAUUUAUUUAAGUUUCCUUUUAAAGAAUAUAUAUGAACCAUUUUUGAGUAGAUAUACGUGAGUUAUUUUUAUAACAGCAAGAUGUUCAUAUUUUUCAAUUAAAAAGAAAAAUCUAAUGAUUUCCAGAUAAAGACCGGAAAAUUUUACCAAAGGAAAAACAUCAAACAAACAACGCAAAAUAUAUACACUCACUGUUGUGCAUCCUAGAAGGAAAAGAAUGGAAUGCUUGGUUUGGAAUCUGUAUUAGUAUAAGAUAAAUUACAUAAUUAAGCCAAAAUACUAGAUUUUAAAACUUAAAAAGGGAUGAGAAAGCUCAACGUAUAUCAUGAUUGAAAGAGCACACCGGAUUUAAUUUGCUGCAAUUACGAAAAUUAAUCUAAUUCAACAGAGAAAUUAUUUAAUUAUAUUUGAAAUUGCACUUUGUUUAGAAACUAACACAGCAAAAUUAUCUAAUGUUUGAAGUAAAAGGCAACUUAAAAUAAAAUACGACAGAAAUAGUUUUGUCCAUAGAAAAGAUAGAGGUAAUAAAUUCUGCAACAACAAACUUACGAGCUAGUAUCCUAAUCAACACAAGAUGAUCAAAGUAAUUAUCCAAACAGAUAGAUGAUAAAUGCAAAACAAAACUUUCGCGGAAUCAAUUGAGCAGGUUAAAUAUCAUCUGCUGCCAUCUCAAACAUAUGCCUUACAGCUUGUCCUCAAACUCGGAUAGAGGGGUCAUCUGAUCCUUCAAACCCUUCCUCUUGCGGAUAUCAAGGACGAGUUGAUGAGCUUGUGAGCCAGCUUCCAAUGGGUCAGAGGACAUCAUUUCCCAAUGAUCAAACACACAUUGUGGGAAGGCUUGACCUGAAGUAGCAGCUCUCAAGGUACCUGAAAAUCCAAAAGACUCAACAACAGGAAGGUAAGCCUUGAUGUUGUAAAGAGGAGUUCCUGGCCUCUGCAUCUCCUCAAACACGUGUCCACGCUUCUGAUUCAGAACACUAUAGAUACCACCAAGGGCUUGCUCCGGAGCCUGAAUUUCCACAAGGUAAACGGGUUCCAACAGGCGGGGUUUAGCAGUAAGCUGAGAAGCAUAGAUAACCCUCCUAGCAGUGGGAAUAACUUGGCCACCACCCCUGUGAAUAGCAUCAGAAUGAAGAACAACAUCACAGACUUCAAAGCAAAUACCUCUCAUGUUCUCUUCAGCCAAUGCACCUUCCUUCGAAGCCCACUGGAAACCAGCAACAACAGAAUCCUUAAUUUCAUUCAGGUACUGAACUCCCUUACACAUAUCCACCACCAUGUUGGGACCAGUUGUCUCAGGACCAAAGCACCAAAUCUUCUUUGCAAGAUCUUUGUCCCAGCCAAACUCCUCAGCCAAGAUCUUGGAACGAACCUUAGGGUCAUCCCUAGGGCCAAUGCGUCCCUC
RNAcentral lists this long non-coding RNA (37145 nucleotides) under Solanum melongena (eggplant). RNAcentral's name for it is "long non-coding RNA (SMEL_LNC000162)". Lineage: Eukaryota; Viridiplantae; Streptophyta; Magnoliopsida; Solanales; Solanaceae. The record is from RNAcentral.